AAGAAAAGAGGGUGUCAAGUUAGCCAAGGUGACUGCCUGAAACCAAGCCAAUCCAGUCUCUGUUGAUCAACUAGAUGACAUUGGAGCAGGCAAGUCAUCCUUGGCUACUAAACAAAAUAACACUCUUUUCU
Non-coding RNA from Daucus carota subsp. sativus, 131 nucleotides. The record is from Rfam. Lineage: Eukaryota; Viridiplantae; Streptophyta; Magnoliopsida; Apiales; Apiaceae.